AAAGAAGUACUGCGGACCAGACGACCUUGACAGAUAAGUUUUUUUCAGUGAUUGUAAACAUUAAAAUGUAGCACGAAAGUUCAUUGUUUUUUAGUUAUAAUUGACAUGAAUAGAGCCAUUGAUGUAAUUGUGUUGUGAAAUUCACAGUUCGUGUCCAAAAAUGCUUGUUUUAAUAUACAACAAAGACGGAGACAUGAUACCGUGCCGACACCGUAAAGAAUCGUCGUUUUCAAUCGUUUGUGUAUAUGAUGAACAGAAAUAUAAGUGUUUUUGCAUGAAUAUGUAUUUUGUUUCAUCUCAUGGUAUGCAAAAAUCAUGAUUUACUCCUGGCGACCCCACUUUCGAAGUUUUUUGUUUUCAUAUUUCUCAAUGAAAAUAAAAGGAAGUGGUAAGGGGUCCGGUACCGGACCUCUAGACACGGAGUCUAGAGGUCCGGUAAUCAAUAUGCUCGUACCGUUAUGUACUGUGUUACCAGUGUAUAUAUGAUAAUAACCGAGAAAAGCUGUUAUUAGUUGUCAUGAAGUAGCCGAUAUGUGACGCACCAUGACAUUUUGGGUCCAAAUUCGGGUUACGUCAUUUGAGAAAACAUCGAUUAAAGUUACGUCACAAAAAAAUGGCGGACGUUACCACGUGUUCGCGGCAAUUAAUGCGUUUCUUGUUUUCAAUGAUACUCUACCUUGCCACAAGAAAAAAAUGAAGUGACAUUUAUAAACAUUUCCGUGUUUUGCAAUUCCGUUUCUUUAAAAAAUUUAAAUGAUUGAUAAUUUAUCGCCGUUUGUAUCGACACGCCAUUUGUAAGCAUCGAAGGUCGUGGAGAAAAUGAAACUACCAAAAACAAUUAUUUGAUGAUUUAUUUCGAUUGUAUAAAGAAUGACAGUUAGCGAAUCUCAAGAUCAACCACUGAGGAUUGUUUGGCUUGAUGCAAUUGCCCUAAACAGUGAAAUGAUUUUCCAGGAAGGUCUAUACACCACAAGCUGGAUUUUAUGGGGUGAUGAAAGAACUAUGAAUAUGUAAAUGGGAAUGAAACAGAGGAAUUAAUAUGUUCUACUGAUCAUCCAGCUGAAAUCAUGCCUGUGGAAUAGAAUGCAUGUCACAAAUACUGAUAUGAGCAAAUAACUCCAUAUUGCACAAAUAAGGUCAUGUUUCCUGCCCUCAUGACCUGAAAAAGUUAAAAAUUCUAGUUCAAAUUACAAAUGUGUUUCAAAAAAAGUAAAACUUAGUCAACUGUGAGAAAUAUUGGGAAAAAGUAGUGUUUUGAUGUCAUGACAGCUGUGAAGUUGUUUGAGAAGCACUAUCCUAAUUGUUCUAAUAAUACAGAAUUUAACUUAUAAAUUUUCCAAAACUGCAUGCAUGAAAUACUAAGACAUGUCUGUUGAAUGAAUCCUAGUUGUUUCAAAGCUACAACAUGUGUGACAUUAAAGCACAACCCUUGGAGGAAACAUUUUUACAAUCAAAACUGCCUUGCCAGUGUGAGUGUAGGAAGGAUUUUUACAGAAAUGGCAGAAAACUACCAAUAUAGCAGAAAAUAUUUGUUACUGGCUGAAUAUAUUAUAUCUUAUUUCAAGAAUUACUAGUAAUCAUGUUAAUCCAUGGUUAUAAUUGUGUUAAUCCAUGGUUAUAAUUGUGUUAAAAGAUAUUUUUACAUGACAUGACCUUUGCAGAAAUAGCUAUUUUUUUUUUCAAAUCAUUGUGAGUUACCAUGGUAACACAAAUUUGACUUAAAUUUAGAUUUGUUUGAUUAUGUAAACAGCACGUGUCUUGUUUAUAUUCUGCUAAUCAGACUAUGUUCUGCAAGAAAAAUAUCUUUUUUGUGUAACCAUCAACAAAACAUGUUAUAACACAAAUCUGCCAUAAAAUAGCACAGCUGUAAUGCAGGUAGGCAUAUCAGGAAAAUAUGUAGUUCUCAAAGACAAGUUAUAUUAUAUGAAAUGAUGUUUGCUUUUAUAAAUGAUCAUAAUUGACCAUUUGUGGUGUAAAACAAAUGUAUACUGAACAGAUGCUAAAUGAAUGUUCUGAUUCUUUCUGGAAAAUUUACAAAAAAAACUACUUUUUUAAGAAAAUGGUGCAUUGUUGCCAUGGUAACAUUAAUUUAACUUUUAAAUUAUUUUUGAUAUCAUCAUAUGUAAACAACAUCUUUCUUGUUUAUAUAUGUUAAGCUGCAUUAUGUUAGUGAAUGUUAUUUUCAUAUGUAAUAAUUGCAUCAACAAAGCACUAUGUUAUUACACAAGUCUGCCUUAAAAUGGCAAUAGUUGUAACUGAGAGAGGUGUAUCUGAAAAUUAUGUAUUUUUCAAACCAUAUUACAUUCAUUUUCAUGGAAUGAUGUCUACUCUCUUACUUUUAGAUAAGAAAACAGACAGCUUUUGAUGCAAAUAUAUGGAAAAACACUUCCAAUAUUCAAUUUAUUGCAAAGAAAUUGCCAAAAAUGUUAGUAUUUUUGUAAGAAAAUACCACAUAAUGCCAUGGUAAUGUUAGUAGUUUUGUAAGAAAAUACCACAUACUUGCCAUGGUAAUGAUUCACUGAUCAGUAUAACUAAGUCUUUUGAAAUUUUAGCAAACUCACAGAUGAUAAUAACAGUCUAAUAAUUAUAUCUUCUUGCCUGAUUUUCUUUCUUACUGUUUAAUAGAUAAGGUGUCUAUAAUAAUAAGAUUAAUGUCCUAGUUCUUGGGAUGUUGUCUAAUUUGAUAUCAAAUAAAUUCUGCAUCUUGUUCAAAAGAAUGUCAUAAAACAGUUGUCUGUAAACUGUUUGCACACUAGAAAAAGUUAAUUGUGUAUUUAUUUCACAUUCUAUGUAAUUUAUUGCUAGAUCCAUCAAGAGACUGUUAAAUAAGAGGUUAAACAACAGUGUUGCUAUAGAAACGAUUUUUAGAACAUAAAUAUUUUUAUACUACAUGAAAGAAACAAAAAGAUAUUAUUUAAAUAUGGUGUCAUUAUUAAGAUAUACUGCUUAAAUUUUGAUACAGUUAGACAAAAACAUGGUGUCCGGAAAGUGGUAAUAUCUCCAUGACAACGACUGAUUUUUGUUGUCAAAUUGAAGAUAUUUACUCAGAACGGGUCAGUCUGUCAGAUUAGCCCAAAACCCCACUUUUGACCAAAAUUGCAUUUGGACCCAAAAUCUAAUGCUCUGUCACAUAUUAUAAUAUUGUUAUUUUUGUAAAUAUUGUUAUUCAUUUUAGAAACAGCUCUCAAUCGGGUUGGAGACAUACUGAAUAUGAGCAACUUUUAUCGGCGAUUUUUGUUAGUCAUUGUUAUUUACUUUAGCAGUAAAAGGAACCCAGCAGUCCAUGAGCACAAUCCAUGUCUUAAAAACUCAAAAGCCGU
Molecule: long non-coding RNA, 3320 nt
Organism: Mercenaria mercenaria
Lineage: Eukaryota; Metazoa; Mollusca; Bivalvia; Venerida; Veneridae
Exons: 3
Source: RefSeq, a predicted model, not a curated record